CCCACCUUGAGCAGCUCUUACGUUUUGCCAUCAUCAAGGUGCAAAUGCGACAGUGUUUGCAAGGAUGAAAAUCCAGCAGAUGCUCCAAGUAUGUGGCGCCUUCCCACCCAUGAACCGUUUUCUAGCUCACACGCUUUUGUGUUGCAGUGUUUGUAUUUACAAAGAGGCCAUAAAGACUCCAGAUUCAAUAGGUGUAAGAAGGGAGGAAUUUCUCUAUAAACACCAGAGUCAUCCCAGUCAUCAAGAUUCUACAGAGGCACGCUUCCAGUAAUGAGGAGAACAAAUGCACAUACGACAUUUAGUAUGGAGAGAUGAUAUAUUAAUGUGAAACCAUUUUUAAAGACAUUUUCUGUAUGACUUUACUAGUAUCUCAUAUCAAUCUGGAGGAAUUUAGGCCCACCUUUUUUUUUACUGUGUUGCUCCAUGAACUUUAGCAUUUGACAUGCCAUUCGAGGCCUGUAGAGCCUGAGGUGUGCUUCAUGUUUUGUUUUGUUGUUUUUUUCAUUAGCUUUUCUUUAAUUUUUUAAAUAUGUGUCAACAUUAGUGUGAAUUUUCUGGGAUGUCCACUUUUGGGAAGAUAGUGGUAUUUUGUUAAGACUCACCUGAAUACUCCAAACAAGGCAAACUACAAACACCUCUGCUUUCAUAGAGGGGAUAAUAAUCAAUUAAUCAAGUGUACGUGAUUAGCAGAUCCUGCUGCUACUUAAUUCCUGUGGAAGUAGUAAGGGUGUACUUUGUUUUUCAAAAAACUUAAUAGAGUCCUGUGAAGACUUUCGUUUUCAUGACUGCACUUCUGUAAGAGAUAAUUCAUGUGAGUAAAACUGACAAUAUAGUAAAUAACACUAACAGCCAAUGAGAAGUAAUAGGAAAAAUAUUAAUGUUAAAUUUACUGUUUUACAGAGUGACAGCAUGCAUUUGAAAAAGGUCUGAGUUCAUUAGUUCGCUUGGUUCUUCUGUUCAAAAUGAAUUUCCACUGCCCUCUAGUGGUGGACUACUCACUCCAUCCAUCCAACCAUUAUCUUAGAUGACUCACUGGUGGAGUGUAAUAAUGCACUAUAAUUAAAAUGACAACUCUAACAUAUCCUCCUGAGAACCAAGGAUAAGAAUCUUCCUAUUGAACUUAUUUUGUGAUUUCCUUCCUCUUUGGAGCUAAAAGAGGCCACCCAAAUACAUGAGAUAUCAAUGGAAAGACCAGGAUGUCCUCUGU
Astatotilapia calliptera (eastern happy) is the source of this 1207-nucleotide long non-coding RNA. The record is from Ensembl. Lineage: Eukaryota; Metazoa; Chordata; Actinopteri; Cichliformes; Cichlidae.